CCUACGGGAGGCAGCAGUGAGGAAUAUUGGUCAAUGGACGAGAGUCUGAACCAGCCAAGUAGCGUGAAGGAUGACUGCCCUCUGGGUUGUAAACUUCUUUUAUAUGGGAAUAAAAUGUUCAAUGUGUGGGAUUUUGUAUGUACCAUAUGAAUAAGGAUCGGCUAACUCCGUGCCAGCAGCCGCGGUAAUACGGAGGAUCCGAGCGUUAUCCGGAUUUAUUGGGUUUAAAGGGAGCGUAGGUGGAUUGGUAAGUCAGUUGUGAAAGUUUGCGGCUCAACCGUAAAAUUGCAGUUGAUACUGGCAGUCUUGAGUACAGUAGAGGUGGGCGGAAUUCGUGGUGUAGCGGUGAAAUGCUUAGAUAUCACGAAGAACUCCGAUUGCGAAGGCAGCUCACUGGACUGCAACUGACACUGAGGCUCGAAAGUGUGGGUAGCAAACAGGAUUAGAUACCCCUGUAGUC
RNAcentral lists this ribosomal RNA (460 nucleotides) under uncultured bacterium. RNAcentral describes it as "partial 16S ribosomal RNA". It matches the Rfam family "Bacterial small subunit ribosomal RNA", at positions 338 to 795 of the family's 1533-position model. The record is from RNAcentral.